Molecule: ribosomal RNA, 811 nt
Filed under: uncultured bacterium
Lineage: Bacteria
Description: bacterial SSU rRNA
Rfam family: Bacterial small subunit ribosomal RNA
Source: RNAcentral
AGAGUUUGAUCCUGGCUCAGGAUGAAUUCUAGCUACAGGCUUAACACAUGCAAGUCGAGGGGCAGCAUGGUCUUAGCUUGCUAAGGCCGAUGGCGACCGGCGCACGGGUGAGUAACGCGUAUCCAACCUGCCGUCCAGUAGGGGACAGCCCGUAGAAAUGCGGAUUAAUACCCUAUGUUCUCCGAGGAUGACAUCAGAUUCGGAGUAAAGAUUCAUCGCUGGACGAUGGGGAUGCGUCUGAUUAGGCAGCAGGCGGGGCAACGGCCCACCUGGCCAACGAUCAGUAGGGGUUCUGAGAGGAAGGUCCCCCACAUUGGAACUGAGACACGGUCCAAACUCCUACGGGAGGCAGCAGUGAGGAAUAUUGGUCAAUGGGCGCGAGCCUGAACCAGCCAAGUAGCGUGAGGGAAGACUGCCCUACGGGUUGUAAACCUCUUUUGUUCGGGAAUAAAGUGCGGCACGCGUGCCGUUUUGUAUGUACCGUUCGAAUAAGGACCGGCUAAUUCCGUGCCAGCAGCCGCGGUAAUACGGAAGGUCCAGGCGUUAUCCGGAUUUAUUGGGUUUAAAGGGAGCGCAGGCGGCCCGUUAAGCGUGACGUGAAAUGUAGUUGCUCAACAUCUGCACUGCGUCGCGAACUGGUGGGCUUGAGUUCACGGUAGGAAGGCGGAAUUCGUGGUGUAGCGGUGAAAUGCUUAGAUAUCACGAGGAACCCCGAUUGCGAAGGCAGCUUUCCGCAGUGUUACUGACGCUCAUGCUCGAAAGCGCGGGUAUCGAACAGGAUUAGAUACCCUGGUAGUCCACGCUGUAAACG